UUCCUGGUGGCUCAGACGGUAAAGCAUCUGCCUACAAUGUGGGAGAGCCAGGUUCGAUGCCUGGGUCGGGAAG
Molecule: non-coding RNA, 73 nt
Organism: Ovis aries (sheep)
Lineage: Eukaryota; Metazoa; Chordata; Mammalia; Artiodactyla; Bovidae
Source: Rfam